CGUUAGCAAGAGUUGACAUCUCAGACACUGCUAUGCACUGCAACGAUGUUCACAAGUUAUUUUUUAUUCGUUUAUAUUUCCAGCUGCUAUGGUGUUGUGAUAAGUUCUGGUAAAACUCUUUGAAAUAAUCCUUCAUAAAUCUGGGAGGUUUCUGGAAACUGUGCUCCUUGUGAAGAUAAUUACAGAAGCCAAUUUUCCCUUUCAAACCAUUUUAAGCCACAAGCUAUUCAUGCUUUAUUUGCCUGAAGUGGCUCAAAUGUAACUCAGAGCUGGACCUGAGGAUCCUAAGUCAUGUUUUUGUUGUUGUUUUUGCUUGUUUGUUUAUUAAAUAUCUUUGCAGCUGUAGAGACAAUCCAUAAGAUACUAUGGUAUUAAUUACCAGUAGGGAAUAGGGAUAUAACAUUAUUCUGUGACAACGCCAUGGCAAAGCGUUGAGGUAGUCGUUUUAGAUGAAAGUCAGUGUUCUACCUAUUCCAUGAAUAAAAGAUAGAUAGUGAUGUUCUUUGAAUGCUACCUGGCUAUAGAGCUCCUCAGGUGAGGAUUCUUUUGAUUCAAAUGAAGCUGUCUGAAAGUCAGGUGUCUGCUCCAAAUUACUCAUGCCAGCUUCCUUUGUAGGGAGAGCAUCUCAAAACAGGAGUCUGAGAGAGGUGGGACCAAUCAACUCCGGAUACCCGUGGGCAAACACUUACAUCUAUGAAAUUCAUGUCACUGCUAUGGAGUUGACACCAGCUCUUCUAUGGACACUGAGGCUGAAAGGAAGACUUUAAACACCUCGCUGAAGGGUUUGUUGUGCCACAGCCAUAAUUAUCUUCUACGCAGAACAGCGGGACCUGCUCUCCUGUUUUGGGAAAAGGACUGUCCGGUCACCAGAUGUUGGUAUGUAUCCACCAGACACCUAUAUGAAGAGGAAAAUGUCACUGCAGCUGUAUUAGGAAGGGCAACUAUACAUGAAAUCAGUUCUAAACCAGUUCACGGCUUAAGGAUGCCUCCAGUCUUUCUCAACAGGUAAGACUCAGUGUCAGUGAAAUACGUGACUGAGAUACGAAUGACAGGAAGCCAAGAAAUGCAUAAGGAUACAGCAGUAGAAAUCACAUGAACAGUGUACUUAAGGCUGCAAUGUUUUCACCUAUUUUCCCUGUUGUAUGACAUGAAGCCUUUGUUUCAGGAUGCAAAAUAAAAGCCAUCCUUGAUCCAAGCAUGAAAGACUGGCUCCCCAUACCAUUUCAGAGUACCCACUUCCUGGCUCACACCUUCCCAAAAUCCAAGCUAAGCCCCCUUAAAGACUCACUCCAGCCCACACAGACUAGCACUGCUUACCAGCCACCGAUACUUCAGAUCCUUUGCUCAUUGCAGUUUUCUGGCUUUCUGCUCCCUUGAGAAGUGAUCACUGCCUGAAAUCUCCCUGGCAGGUUAACUCCCUCUCUUCAGAUCUUGGGAGGACCUUGUACUGUUCUUGGAAGGACCUAGCUGUUCUCACACUGGCUUCUUUUCUCAAGAUAGGACUUCACAGAAAAAGCACACUGCAUAGGUUAGCCACGGGAAAACACAUUCAUGUGAGUGAUGGGUGGUUUGUGAAUGUGCACAUGCCAGCAGAAAGAUACACACACAUAGAAGAAAUGGAUACAGAACGGAAGAACAGAAUGUAACUAGAACUAGGCAGAAGACAAGGCAUGAAUAGAGAAUGUGAUGAGGAAAAGAAAAAAAAAAGGACAGAAAUCAAGUAAAUUUUAACAAAA
Molecule: long non-coding RNA, 1736 nt
Filed under: Anas zonorhyncha (Eastern spot-billed duck)
Lineage: Eukaryota; Metazoa; Chordata; Aves; Anseriformes; Anatidae
Description: lncRNA (ENSAZOG00000009064.1)
Source: RNAcentral